GACGAAGGAUGCAAGCGUUAUCCGGAUUCAUUGGGUUUAAAGGGAGCGUAGGUGGUCUUCUAAGUCAGUGGUGAAAUCUCUCGGCUUAACUGAGAAAUUGCCAUUGAUACUGGGAGACUUGAGUGUAGUUCCGUUGGCGGAAUAUGACAUGUAGUGGUGAAAUACAUAGAGAUGUCAUAGAACACCGAUUGCGAAGGCAGCUAACGAAACUAUAACUGACACUGAGGCUCGAAAGUGCGGGG
RNAcentral lists this ribosomal RNA (242 nucleotides) under uncultured bacterium. RNAcentral's name for it is "partial 16S ribosomal RNA". It matches the Rfam family "Bacterial small subunit ribosomal RNA", at positions 524 to 766 of the family's 1533-position model. The record is from RNAcentral.